Molecule: ribosomal RNA, 468 nt
Filed under: uncultured bacterium
Lineage: Bacteria
Description: partial 16S ribosomal RNA
Rfam family: Bacterial small subunit ribosomal RNA
Source: RNAcentral
GACGAACGCUGGCGGCGUGCUUAACACAUGCAAGUCGAACGGAAAGGCCCUGCUUGUGUGGGGUGCUCGAGUGGCGAACGGGUGAGUAACACGUGAGUAACCUGCCCUUGACUUUGGGAUAACUUCAGGAAACUGGGGCUAAUACCGUAUAGGAGCUCCUGCUGCAUGGUGGGGGUUGGAAAGUUUCGGCGGUUGGGGAUGGACUCGCGGCUUAUCAGCUUGUUGGUGGGGUAGUGGCUUACCAAGGCUUUGACGGGUAGCCGGCCUGAGAGGGUGACCGGCCACAUUGGGACUGAGAUACGGCCCAGACUCCUACGGGAGGCAGCAGUGGGGAAUAUUGCACAAUGGGAGGAAGCCUGAUGCAGCAACGCCGCGUGCGGGAUGACGGCCUUCGGGUUGUAAACCGCUUUCGCCUGUGACGAAGCGUGAGUGACGGUAAUGGGUAAAGAAGCACCGGCUAACUACGUG